UUUGUGGAGGGUUCGAUUCUGGCUCAGGAUGAACGCUGGCGGCGUGCUCAACACAUGCAAGUCGAACGGGAUCCCAGGAGCUUGCUCCUGGGUGAGAGUGGCGAACGGGUGAGUAAUGCGUGACCGACCUGCCCCAUACACCGGAAUAGCUCCUGGAAACGGGUGGUAAUGCCGGAUGCUCCAGUUGACCGCAUGGUCCUCUGGGAAAGCUUUUGCGGUAUGGGAUGGGGUCGCGUCCUAUCAGCUUGAUGGCGGGGUAACGGCCCACCAUGGCUUCGACGGGUAGCCGGCCUGAGAGGGCGACCGGCCACAUUGGGACUGAGAUACGGCCCAGACUCCUACGGGAGGCAGCAGUGGGGAAUAUUGCACAAUGGGCGCAAGCCUGAUGCAGC
This 392-nucleotide ribosomal RNA is filed under the name Bifidobacterium sp. Its description in RNAcentral is "bacterial SSU rRNA". It matches the Rfam family "Bacterial small subunit ribosomal RNA", at positions 1 to 392 of the family's 1533-position model. Lineage: Bacteria; Bacillati; Actinomycetota; Actinomycetes; Bifidobacteriales; Bifidobacteriaceae. The record is from RNAcentral.